Molecule: RNA transcript, 2389 nt
Organism: Ctenopharyngodon idella (grass carp)
Lineage: Eukaryota; Metazoa; Chordata; Actinopteri; Cypriniformes; Xenocyprididae
Gene: c6h21orf58
Exons: 11
Source: RefSeq, a predicted model, not a curated record
UUAAUAAAUAACAGGCUGAAUUCUUCUGUUGAUUGAAAAGUGUCAUUCAACAAUCAGAAAUUAUUCAGAAAUACAGCCAGUAUCGGGUGGUUCACAUUAUUUGAAGCGUUUGACCUUUAAAAGCAGGAACGUAAACAAACGCCUAACAAAUGAAAAGAUCUUCAUCUCGGUUUUCCUCUCAAUGCAGAUAAAGCGCAGUUCCCAUAAAAGCUCUCGAGCUAAAUAUAUACUGUAGAUACCUGUGAGCUGCACUGAUCCUGCCUAGAGACAGAGCUGUAUCACUUUCCCCUCAUAUUCAACAGCAAAUAUAACUUUAUUUGCAACAUGAAACCUACCAAAAGCAAAUAUACGCAAACCUUCCAGCUGCGGAAUAUCGUUCUGAAUCUGGGAACCAUUGCAAAUGAACGAGAUCCAGUGUUUGACCAAAUGACAAGGCUGAGAUUGAAAAUGCUGGAAAAGAGACUGGAGAAUGAGAGAAAUGACAACAUUGAACGAGAGGGUUCAGCACUUUCCAUAAGAAGUUAUGAUGGUCAGGCAGAUGCAUUACACAGCGCUCUGAGACAGAAGAGAAACCUCCUACAGAGACUGAGGGAACAGCAUAUGAUGGAGAAUCUGGGAAGGCCACACACUUGGGGUGGAUCUCAUAGGCAAUACCAUUAUGAACCUCUUCUUGGGCCACUCCAGCCUGUGCCUCCCAUCCAUGUCUACCAAAGUGGACCACCUGCUCCUCUUCCUCCUCCUGUCCCUCAGCCCCCUCAAAUCAUUCAACACACUGUUCCUCAGCAGCCAGCCACCAUUAUCCAGCAGUUACCACAGCAACAGCCUCUCAUAGCACAAAUCUCACCCCCACAAACCUUUCCCUACAGAUCAGGAAGUAUUAAAGAAGAUAUGGUGGAGUUGAUGCUCAUGCAGAAUGCUCAGAUGCACCAGAUCAUCAUGCACAACAUGAUGCUGAAGGCUCUUCCACCAAUGGCUGUGUCCCCAGGUGGAAAUCAUACCACACCUCACAUAGCCUCACAUUCAGGGCAGGAACUUCAUUCAACAGUGAGAGGAGGGACUGUUCAUCAUCACCAUCACUACGGCUCCCAUGGACCACCUCUCCCUCCAAUUGGCUACUCUGUUUGGCCCUCUACAAUGUCAGCAGGACAAGGCGGGACUUAUCAGCCAGCAGUGCAGCGUGUUAUUGGUCCUGUAACUCUGCCUCCCUUAAACACGUAAGAGUCAACAGUGUAACUAUGAAUAAUAAUGAAUACAUAUUAAAAUGGAUCAGAAAUUCUUUGGGAACUGUUGCUUAAUGGGAAUUGAUGCAAACUCCAGAACUCCACUUGGACUCUGAGCCAAAUUGCCAAGUGCAGACGGAUCCUGCUUCAUCUUCAAAGAUUGACACAUUGACAUAAAUGUUUUUUUAUAUUUAAUUUACAAUUUUCAAUACAGCAGGCAUUGUUUUCCUAGGGAUUUAUUGUGAUUUUAAUUUGUUAUAGCCUAAUAAUUGAAGGAUUUAUUAAAUGUUAUUACAGUGAUAUUUUAAAAGAGCUUCAAUUGUGUUACUCAGUUUAAAAAAAAAGGUUAAAAUCACUGGUAUGUAGUUUUCGUGGCUGUUCUGCCAUACAACACACUUUUAAAAUACAAUCCUGUAUUUGCAGUGCAGUGCAGUCAUACUAGGGUUACUUGUUGCCAAAGUCAUACAGGCAGUACAGUGUGUAAUGCUGUCUUGCGCAACACAAAGCUCAUAAGUCUGGCUAACUGAGGGUAUGUCAUGUCAAGCAAUGAUGCUGAUGUUUAAAAUACUACACACGCCUUCUCUGCUGUAAACAAGGUUUAACAAAUAUAGAACAUUUAACAGGUUAAAGCGCAUCCACUCGAUAUUUUUCUUCCGCUUUGAGACAUGUGAUGCUCAGUGGCGCCUCUGAUUGGUUACAUUAUUUUCCUGUCAAAUGUUUAGCAGUACAGCUAAUCAGUUUACUUAUAUAUAUAUAUAUCACAAAUUCACGGGAUGUACGAAUAAAAAAUGUAAGUUAUUAAAUUGUGUGCCGUUUUUAAUAAAACGUCGUUUCGUUUGUAACAGAGGCCGCAUCCUUCGAAGGCUCUGUAGCGCCGUAACUGGCGGUGUGAGUGGAGAGUGGGAGGGCCUAGCCGGUGAGCAGUUGUGUGGGGGUGUCGCAGUUGACAAAUCAGUGACGCACUAAGCGUAACUGCUACGGAAGGCUAUUGAAACACGAGUGGCUGAAUUUCUCGGGUACAAAGUCUUCAGUAUAGAGACCUGGCACUAAUAAACCAAACAGAGUCUUAUUCAUCGUGGUGGUUUGUGAUGUAUGAAUGGAUAGUUGACGGAUUAUCAUCGCUGUUCGUGCCCUUUUCUGGUGAGAAAUCCGCAGCCUGGCCUAGUGAG